CCUACGGGAGGCAGCAGUGGGGAAUUUUGGACAAUGGGCGCAAGCCUGAUCCAGCAAUGCCGCGUGAGUGAAGAAGGCCUUCGGGUUGUAAAGCUCUUUUGUCAGGGAAGAAACGGGUCUUUCUAAUACAGAGGCCUAAUGACGGUACCUGAAGAAUAAGCACCGGCUAACUACGUGCCAGCAGCCGCGGUAAUACGUAGGGUGCAAGCGUUAAUCGGAAUUACUGGGCGUAAAGCGUGCGCAGGCGGUUUUGUAAGUUUGUCGUGAAAUCCCCGGGCUCAACCUGGGAAUGGCGAUGAAGACUGCAAGGCUAGAGUUUGGCAGAGGGGGGUAGAAUUCCACGUGUAGCAGUGAAAUGCGUAGAUAUGUGGAGGAACACCGAUGGCGAAGGCAGCCCCCUGGGUCAAAACUGACGCUCAUGCACGAAAGCGUGGGGAGCAAACAGGAUUAGAUACCCCUGGUAGUCCACGCCCUAAACGAUGUCUACUAGUUGUCGGGUCUUAAAUUGACUUGGUAACGCAGCUAACGCGUGAAGUAGACCGCCUGGGGAGUACGGUGCAAGAAUUAAAACUCAAAGAGUAGUUAGAGNGNGAGNGNGACGAGACGACGAGAGGAGAG
Molecule: ribosomal RNA, 618 nt
Filed under: uncultured bacterium
Lineage: Bacteria
Description: bacterial SSU rRNA
Rfam family: Bacterial small subunit ribosomal RNA
Source: RNAcentral